AUGGGGAUUUGUAAGAGCUUGUUUUUCUGUGAAUACCAGGUGAAAGUGGCGUUUAGCUGCUCCCUGGCCCUACUGGACCUCACAGACAAGACUGAGGAGGAAAUGCCACCAGGGGUGACGUUGAUGCACUGUGCAAAUGGACAGAAGAGGCUCAAGUUCCAACAAAAUCUCCAGAUCUGCUACAGUAACAACAAUCAGCAGACGGUUCCUCUCCGUGCAUACUUGGAUCUUUCUACUCUGAGUCUGUCUGAUGAGAGCAUCGACUUUGGCUUCUGCUACGUGGGGCAGACGCAAACUAGAGAAGUGAAACUCUGCAACCAGGGAGCUCGCACUUACUGGAAAUCACAUACAGGUAAUGGUACACUUCCUUACUGACAGAAAAAAUAAUGAUUUCUGAGGUCGCAAAUACAGAAAAAAGGUCAACUCCAUGUCUCUUAUAUUUGUCUGUUUUCCUCAAAUGUAGAACCAGAUGAAAAGGCGUCCACUGUGUUUAGUGUGACCCCAGACCUUGGUGAGCUCAGGCCAACAGAGCUGCACACUGCCAGUUGCAAACAGUAUCUUCAAAUCAGCUUCACUCCAAGGUAAGACAGUAGUAAAGCAACAAGCACGUUGAAACCUCCCACACAGCCUAUGUAUACGCUCAUGUGUCUGAUUCAUGUGUGUUUCAGUGAGGACAUCACAUUCAGGGCUGUGGUUGUAAUUCACUCUCCAACAGUGAAAACUCCACUCACUCUGCAGCUCCAGGGAACAGGAUCCUUAGAUGAGAAGUACAGAACAGAACUCUGAUUCUGAAUCAAAGUCAAGAUGUUGGAAUGCAAAGAAACACCAAUAAAAUAUUGCACCGAUGCUUCUCGUAAAAACCC
RNAcentral lists this long non-coding RNA (863 nucleotides) under Gouania willdenowi (blunt-snouted clingfish). RNAcentral's name for it is "lncRNA (ENSGWIG00000005828.1)". Lineage: Eukaryota; Metazoa; Chordata; Actinopteri; Blenniiformes; Gobiesocidae. The record is from RNAcentral.